AGUGAACGCUGGCGGUAGGCCUAACACAUGCAAGUCGAACGGCAGCACAGUAAGAGCUUGCUCUUACGGGUGGCGAGUGGCGGACGGGUGAGGAAUACAUCGGAAUCUACUUUUUCGUGGGGGAUAACGUAGGGAAACUUACGCUAAUACCGCAUACGACCUACGGGUGAAAGCAGGGGAUCUUCGGACCUUGCGCGAUUGGAUGAGCCGAUGUCGGAUUAGCUAGUUGGCGGGGUAAAGGCCCACCAAGUCGACGAUCCGUAGCUGGUCUGAGAGGAUGAUCAGCCACACUGGAAGAUAGACGCGGUCCAGACUCCUACGGGAGGCAGCAGUGGGGAAUAUUGGACAAUAGGCGCAAGCCUGAUCCAGCCAUACCGCGUGGGUGAAGAAGGCCUUCGGGUUGUAAAGCCCUUUUGUUGGGAAAGAAAAGCAGCAGGUUGAUACCCCGCUGUUCUGACGGUACCCAAAGAAUAAGCACCGGCUAACUUCGUG
Molecule: ribosomal RNA, 492 nt
Filed under: uncultured bacterium
Lineage: Bacteria
Description: partial 16S ribosomal RNA
Rfam family: Bacterial small subunit ribosomal RNA
Source: RNAcentral